RNAcentral lists this unclassified non-coding RNA (597 nucleotides) under Sedum hirsutum. Its description in RNAcentral is "sequence contains ITS1, 5.8S rRNA gene and ITS2". The stretch from base 228 to 383 matches the Rfam family "5.8S ribosomal RNA". The record is from RNAcentral. Lineage: Eukaryota; Viridiplantae; Streptophyta; Magnoliopsida; Saxifragales; Crassulaceae.
UCGAAGCCUAGAAAGCACGACCGCGAACGAGUUUAAAUCCGAGGGAUGCGUUGGGAAGCUCAUGCUGCCCGUGCUCCCCGAUCGGCGGCGGGAGGCCUAAUAACCUUUUGUCCUCGAUAUUAACGAAUCCCGGCGCGGCAAGCGCCAAGGAAUCAAAACGAAAGGACAUGUCCCGCGAAUCCGUCCGCGGGUUCGAGAGGCAUGCGUCUGUUCAGAUAAGUCAUAACGACUCUCGGCAACGGAUAUCUCGGCUCUCGCAUCGAUGAAGAACGUAGCGAAAUGCGAUACUUGGUGUGAAUUGCAGAAUCCCGUGAACCAUCGAGUCUUUGAACGCAAGUUGCGCCCGAAGCCUUUAGGCCGAGGGCACGUCUGCCUGGGCGUCAUGCACUGCGAUGCCCCCGCCACAGCGCGGGGCGAAGCGUGGCCUCCCGUGAGCCAACUCGCGGUUGGCUUAAAAGCGAGCCUCGAGACGGAGAGACGUCGCGACAAGUGGUGGUUUCGAGGCUGCGUGCCUUUGAGCAUUGCAAGUCGCGUGUCAUCCACACUCAACGCUCUAAAGUAACCUAUAUGGGGCGCGUACAUCGCGCCGCCAGCAUC